UUUUUAAUCACGCCUGUACAAAACAGAUGGUCCUAAGCCUAUAUUAAAGUGAGAAGGAAAA
Molecule: non-coding RNA, 61 nt
Filed under: Acyrthosiphon pisum (pea aphid)
Lineage: Eukaryota; Metazoa; Arthropoda; Insecta; Hemiptera; Aphididae
Source: RNAcentral